This 75-nucleotide antisense RNA is filed under the name Streptomyces sp. CB01883. RNAcentral's name for it is "ASpks TB sRNA". It matches the Rfam family "ASpks TB sRNA". The record is from Rfam by way of RNAcentral. Lineage: Bacteria; Bacillati; Actinomycetota; Actinomycetes; Kitasatosporales; Streptomycetaceae.
CUUCAGGGAUCCGAGGUACAGCGGCCUGUCCGAGGUGCGGUCGCGUCCGUAGGUGGCGAGCAGGGCCUGUGCCUC